Molecule: transfer RNA, 82 nt
Filed under: Lachnospiraceae bacterium XBD2001
Lineage: Bacteria; Bacillati; Bacillota; Clostridia; Lachnospirales; Lachnospiraceae
Description: tRNA_Pseudo_GAA
Rfam family: tRNA (bases 10-74)
About the family: Transfer RNA (tRNA) molecules are approximately 80 nucleotides in length. Their secondary structure includes four short double-helical elements and three loops (D, anti-codon, and T loops). Further hydrogen bonds mediate the characteristic L-shaped molecular structure. tRNAs have two regions of fundamental functional importance: the anti-codon, which is responsible for specific mRNA codon recognition, and the 3' end, to which the tRNAs corresponding amino acid is attached (by aminoacyl-tRNA synthetases). tRNAs cope with the degeneracy of the genetic code in two manners: having more than one tRNA (with a specific anti-codon) for a particular amino acid; and 'wobble' base-pairing, i.e. permitting non-standard base-pairing at the 3rd anti-codon position.
Source: RNAcentral
GCCACCGUCGCUCAAUGGCGGAGCAGCUGCUUGAAACGCAGUAGCCUUAACGGGUAUAUAGGUUCGAAUCCUGUGCACGGCG